Molecule: long non-coding RNA, 477 nt
Organism: Pipra filicauda (Wire-tailed manakin)
Lineage: Eukaryota; Metazoa; Chordata; Aves; Passeriformes; Pipridae
Exons: 2
Source: RefSeq, a predicted model, not a curated record
AGCUGAUCCGGGACGGAGCCGGCGCGGCGGGGGAGGCGGCGGCACCGGCACCGGGAACAGGGACCCGCCACGGCCCGGCGGCACCGGUGGGACCGGACCCGCGGGUGCUUCCAUGCCCCCUUGCUCCUGGCUAACCAGCACCAGUUCUUCAGUGGCAAGCUUUAUGUCCUUCUCCAGUAGCUAAAGCUGCCAGUUGAAGAACUGUUGAAUGUAGCCACUCUCUUCUUGUCACUGGGACCUUGGAUGCCAGCCAGACCCGUGCCCUGAGUGACCAGGAUCAGCCAGUCUGAAGCGUCCUGUGGAUUUGAGGGCUGAGGAUGAGUCCAGCCAGGAUGAAGAAGUCUCUCCACAGCCUCCAGACAGAGCCUUGGCUGGGGGAUUGCCAGGCAGCCCUGUCAGCGGGGUCCUGCUGCAGUGGGGUAUCACUGAGCUGAGAGGAGACCAAAAGAGGCAUUAAACUUUCUGUUUUGCUCAACA